Long non-coding RNA from Felis catus (domestic cat), 2021 nucleotides. RefSeq lists it as uncharacterized. Lineage: Eukaryota; Metazoa; Chordata; Mammalia; Carnivora; Felidae. The transcript is spliced from 2 exons. The record is from RefSeq and is a predicted model, not a curated record.
GGUUGAGGAGAGGGUGACAAAAGGGGGACUCUGUUUAGCUCGAGCUCUAGACACGGCUGGCAAUAGAGAGGCUGUAAGAACUUAACAGAGAAGUUUCUGUUAAGAUUCUCACCUCGGGAUAGGCAGAAGGGGCUAAGAGGUGAUAAGGACAUUUGUACUUCUGAGAAGGUGAGAAGAACUACCAAAAUGGCUUCAUCUUAAAUGCGCUGGCAGAAGAGAAGGGUGGUUAUUAGUAUUGUUCCGAACAAACCUGUUUGUUUCUCUUAGCUCUGCAAGAUUUAUGACUCUUGGCACAAAUGAGGAAGACUACAAAAGCUAAACUUUUCUUAGGGUGUGUUUGAGAAGGGCAGGAAAAGGCAAGGAGGCCUGUAGGAGGGAGACAAGAGCCAAGAAUGUAGGUGUCUGCAGAUUUGGGGCGGGGGUGGGGAGAGCCAUUCCCGCUGGAGGAAAGAGACAAAAAAGAAGACCAGGACGUUUCCCAAAGCAGGAGUGUUUGCAACUCUGCCUAACUGCUGAGUCGGGACUUAGGGGAUGAAAUAGAACGCAGAGAGUCUCUCUUUUCUACAAAGGCAGCUUGGAAAACUUGUUCUCUUUAACUUGGAGUAGACAGAGCCAGCCACUACCCUGUGACCUCCUGGUUAGAAUGCUUGGCUUUUGCCUUCUCCCAUCUGGACGCACCAGAGGAGAUGGGACUGGGAGAACAAAGGUGAGAGAUGGUUCCAGCUAUUGUCCCCCUCCGGGAGAGGGUGGCUGUGUCUGGCAAAGCUCCCCUCACACCCUAUUGCUCCCCACUCACAAGCUCUGCUUUGGGCUGAGAAAGGGUCCUAUUCUCCCAGGGUCUCCUCCAGCUCCUACCUCUUCCGGGCCUGCUAAGUCAGUUUUCAUGGGCUGGAGCAGCCAGUUUUGGGGGGCCUUGCUGAACGGGGUGGGUGGGACCCAUGGCCUCCCUGCCCUCCAGCAACAGGAACCACAUGCAGAACCUCCCACUGUGAUGCCCCAAGGACCCUACUACCACCUGCCUAGAGAGCUGGUGGCUGAAGGAAGGGGGGGGGAUGUGCAUGAGGAUGAAGGGUGGGGGCCAUUUUUCUGUUUAUCAGUAGUACCAAGAAAAGAAAAUGCUCAAGCCAGAGCCGAUGUUGUGGCUCAAGCCAGGACCCUCAAAGAGAGCCUAAUGGUCUGCCUGUGUACGUGGCUGCACAGAGCCUGUCCUGAGAUUUCUAGACCCUGGUCAGGGGCCUACAGUGUUGGUACCUAUGUAGCUUUGGGCCUAGUGGGUUGGGGACUCAGCCCAGGGAGGCUUCCAGAGGCUUAAGGGAACCAGCACCUUUGGGUCUUUUCUCUGACUCCCCCAAAUUAAAAGUCGAAAAUGGACCUCAGACCCUCCAGCUCUCCUAGCUGUUGCUACCACUGGCUAGAGAAGGUCAUUGCAAAAUUGAGAGAAGAGGAGAGCCUGGUGGCUACGGGGCUGCACAGCUUUGCUUCAAGGAAUAAAAGAGAGCCUAGAGGGCACCCAGCCCAAGGCGGGCCUGUGAGACUGGGGCUGCGAUGCUUUCCCCAGACAGCAGCGGACCCCUCCCCUCCCAGAGCCUCCUCAACUCAUUGUGGUCCCUUCUGGUGACACAAGGAGCUGGAGCACGGUGGGAUGGGGGGCGAGAAAGAGGACUGGGGCUGGAGAAAGCUAACCUGGAGAAAACUUUCAGAAGACACGCACCCCCCAAAUGCGCUUUGGGGAGACCAAGGAUCUGGCCCCCAGUUCAACCAACCCCCGGCUCACUGAGAAGCGGGGACCUGGGAGCGGGGGUGCGAAGCGAUUCGAGAUCUGUUUCUUUCUGGUCCUGUCUGGGCUCCGGGUCCCACACUCUUCCAGCUUCACUGCCCCAACUUUGUGGCCGCUGCGGACUCGUGUGAAGUUCACACACACACACACACACACACACACGCACCGGAAUGUCCAUCUCUUCUUGAAUAUUAAUAAAGAUUUCAAAGCUGGCGGUUGUAAAAUUAAAUUGCUAAUGAAGAUG